Molecule: ribosomal RNA, 492 nt
Filed under: uncultured bacterium
Lineage: Bacteria
Description: partial 16S ribosomal RNA
Rfam family: Bacterial small subunit ribosomal RNA
Source: RNAcentral
AGUGAACGCUGGCGGUAGGCCUAACACAUGCAAGUCGAACGGCAGCACAGUAAGAGCUUGCUCUUACGGGUGGCGAGUGGCGGACGGGUGAGGAAUACAUCGGAAUCUACUUUUUCGUGGGGGAUAACGUAGGGAAACUUACGCUAAUACCGCAUACGACCUACGGGUGAAAGCAGGGGAUCUUCGGACCUUGCGCGAUUGAAUGAGCCGAUGUCGGAUUAGCUAGUUGGCGGGGUAAAGGCCCACCAAGGCGACGAUACGUAGCUGAUCUGAGAGGAUGAUCGGCCACACUGGAACUGAGACACGGUCCAGACUCCUACGGGAGGCAGCAGUGGGGAAUAUUGGACAAUGGGCGCAAGCCUGAUCCAGCCAUGCCGCGUGGGUGAAGAAGGCCUUCGGGUUGUAAAGCCCUUUUGUUGGGAAAGAAAAGCAGCAGGUGAAUACCCCGCUGUUCUGACGGUACCCAAAGAAUAAGCACCGGCUAACUUCGUG